GACGAACGCUGGCGGCGUGCUUAACACAUGCAAGUCGAACGGGCCUGUCUUCUUUUUUGGGGGUGGGUUGAGUGGCGAACGGGUGAGUAUCACGUGAGUAACCUGCCCUUCGGUCCUGGAUAACCGCUUGAAAGGGCGGCUAAUACGGGGUGGUCCGGUUGGUCCGCAUGGGCUGGUCGGGAUAGAUUCACUGUUUUUGGUGUUUCGGCGGGGGAUGGGCUCGCGGCCUAUCAGCUUGUUGGUGGGGUGAUGGCCUGCCAAGGCGGUGACGGGUAGCCGGCCUGAGAGGGUGGGCGGCCACACUGGGACUGAGAUACGGCCCAGACUCCUGCGGGAGGCAGCAGUGGGGGGUAUUGCACAAUGGGCGGAAGCCUGAUGCAGCGACGUCGCGUGAGGGAUGGAGGCCUUCGGGUUGUGAACCUCUGUUUCCGGUGGUGAAGGCCCUGUCCGUGUGGUGGGGUUGACGGUAGCCGGGGAUGAAGCGCCGGCUAACUACGUG
This 499-nucleotide ribosomal RNA is filed under the name uncultured bacterium. RNAcentral describes it as "partial 16S ribosomal RNA". It matches the Rfam family "Bacterial small subunit ribosomal RNA", at positions 28 to 507 of the family's 1533-position model. The record is from RNAcentral.